UUAUGGUCAAGCAAGUAAGAGCGUAGGGUGGAUGCUUGGCACUAAGAGCCGAUGAAAGACGUGAUAAGCUGCGAUAAGCUUCGGGGAGGAGCAAAUAUCCUUUGAUCC
Molecule: ribosomal RNA, 108 nt
Filed under: Firmicutes bacterium AF25-13AC
Lineage: Bacteria; Bacillati; Bacillota
Description: partial 23S ribosomal RNA
Rfam family: Bacterial large subunit ribosomal RNA
Source: RNAcentral